RNAcentral lists this ribosomal RNA (551 nucleotides) under Carassius auratus (goldfish). RNAcentral's name for it is "bacterial SSU rRNA". It matches the Rfam family "Eukaryotic small subunit ribosomal RNA", at positions 363 to 914 of the family's 1831-position model. The record is from RNAcentral. Lineage: Eukaryota; Metazoa; Chordata; Actinopteri; Cypriniformes; Cyprinidae.
CGGGGAAUCAGGGUUCGAUUCCGGAGAGGGAGCCUGAGAAACGGCUACCACAUCCAAGGAAAGGCAGCAGGCGCACAAAUUACCCAUUUCCGAUCAGAGAGGUAGUGACGAAAUAUAACAAUCCAGGUCUCUUUCGAGGCCCUUUAAUUGGAUUGAGCAUAUCUAAACCCAUGGGCAAGGACCCACUGGAGGGCAAAUCUGGUGCCAGGAGCGAUGGUAAUUCCAGCUCCAAUUGCGUAUGAAGGUUAAAAAACUUGUAGUUGAAUCUCAGGAGUGGGCUGGUCGUAAGCCGCGAGACGAGCCACCACCUAUCCUGGACCCUGCCUCCCUGCGCCCCCCGGAUGCCCUUAACUGGGUGUCCGGUCACCUCGGGGCCCAGAGCAUUUACUUUGAAAAAAUUAGAGUGCUCAAAGCAGGCCGCCUGUCGCCGCUGAAUACCGCAGCUAGGAAUAAUGGAAUAGGACUCCGGUUCUAUUUUGUGGGUUUCUGGAACCCGGGGCCAUGAUUAAGAGGGACGGCCGGGGGCAUUCGUAUUGCGCCGCUAGAGGUGA